This 497-nucleotide ribosomal RNA is filed under the name uncultured bacterium. RNAcentral's name for it is "partial 16S ribosomal RNA". It matches the Rfam family "Bacterial small subunit ribosomal RNA", at positions 28 to 507 of the family's 1533-position model. The record is from RNAcentral.
GAUGAACGCUGGCGGCGUGCCUAAUACAUGCAAGUCGAGCGAACAGACGAGGAGCUUGCUCCUCUGACGUUAGCGGCGGACGGGUGAGUAACACGUGGAUAACCUACUUCUAAGUCUGGGAUAACUUCGGGAAACCGGAGCUACUACCGGAUAAUAUAUUGAACCGCAUGGUUCAAUAGUGAAAGACGGUUUUGCUGUCACUUAUAGAUGGAUCCGCGCCGGAUUAGCUAGUUGGUAAGGUAACGGCUUACCAAGGCGACGAUGCGUAGCCGACCUGAGAGGGUGAUCGGCCACACUGGAACUGAGACACGGUCCAGACUCCUACGGGAGGCAGCAGUGGGGAAUCUUCCGCAAAGGGCGAAAGCCUGACGGAGCAACGCCGCGUGAGUGAUGAAGGUCUUCGGAUCGUAAAACUCUGUUAUUAGGGAAGAACAAAUGUGUAAGUAACUAUGCACGUCUUGACGGUACCUAAUCAGAAAGCCACGGCUAACUACGUG